AUCUAAACCUGACAGGAAUGGCAGCCUCCGAUUCUUCAUCGGAGCUAUAAUGUAUGGCAGGACAGGAC
RNAcentral lists this unclassified non-coding RNA (68 nucleotides) under Pedobacter terrae. RNAcentral describes it as "Flavo-1 RNA". Lineage: Bacteria; Pseudomonadati; Bacteroidota; Sphingobacteriia; Sphingobacteriales; Sphingobacteriaceae. The record is from RNAcentral.